AUUGUUGUUGACUGUAGGUAACUUCUCCAGCCGCUGAAUAGCUAGCUGUACUAUAGAGCGUGUCUACACCAAAUUGCAGACGGGCUUGCCCACUUCGCUACUCUGGGACUGGUUACACUUGUUUAGAAGUUUGUUGGGACACUCCACAUUAGCCAUCUGAAAUUUUGUGCAACGAUUGAAUAGGAGCAAUGUCCAUCCGUAUGAUUUCUGCUCCACAGGCAGCUUUCUCUCUACUAACUAUUGUUCUACUUAUACUAGUAUUAGGAGUUCAAACUCUUUCAA
Molecule: unclassified non-coding RNA, 282 nt
Filed under: Hevea brasiliensis (rubber tree)
Lineage: Eukaryota; Viridiplantae; Streptophyta; Magnoliopsida; Malpighiales; Euphorbiaceae
Source: RNAcentral